CCAUCUUAAGCUCCUUAUCUGAUCGAACUAAAACUUAUUUUGCAUCUCCUGUCACAUGGUGAGGCCAAAAACAAUAUCCACAUCUAUGUAACAAACAAAAAACUGAUCAAAUAGAACAAAAGGGAACCAAUCACCAAACCAGAACCGCUUUUCCUUCAAAAAUGGUGAAGAACCACACAAAGAUCCAUCUGAAAUGGAAGUGCAUAAACAAUAAGCAAGGGGAAAGCCCAGGAAGAAGACAAUGACAGUAGAAAAAUAUUAUACUCCCUCUACAAUGCUUCACGUCCAACAACCAGACCAAGAUAGCCCCACCUUAAGCUCCGACUUUGGUAGAAUCAAAACUUAUUUUGUAUCUCCUGUCAAAGGGUGGGACCAAAAACAAUAUACACAUGUACGUAACAAACAAAAAAUAGAUUAAACAGAGCAAAAGGGAACCAAGCACCAAACCAGAACCGCCUUCCCACGAGAACUGGUUAAUUAGAACCCAAAGAUCAAACAUUUGAAGAUUAAAGAGCAUAACAAUAAGCAAAGGGAAAAAGUUCACCUAGAAGAUAAAUCACAAUAGAAAAAUAAUAUACUCCUGUUGACACCCACCAUAAACACUAUACCAAUGGCAGCAUCCAAGAUUGGUCCAUAUCCAAAUAACCAGACCAAGAUAGCCUCACCUUAAAUACCUAACUUUGAUGGAAUCAAAACCAAUUUUGUAUCUCCUGACACAGGGUGAGGCAGAAAACAAGGUCCAAGUCUACGUAACAAAAUAAAACUAUAAUAGAGAGCAAAGAUAACCAAGGAUCAAACCAGAACAGUCUUCCACAGAAGCCUGAUUAAGAAACACACAACGAUCCGGCAUCUGGAAAUUGAAAAGAAUAACGAUAAGCAAGGGAAAGUUUAGGUAGAAUAUAAAAUUUAGUAAAAAAGUUACAAUACUAUACUCCCUAUGCAACCCUUGAUAAACACUAUAUCAAUGACAGCGUCAAAGGUUGCUCCGUGUCCAACAAUCAGACCAAGAUUGCACCACCAUAAGCUCCUACUUUGAUAGAAUCAAAACUUAAUUUAUAUUUUGUGUCAUAGGGUGAUGCAGAAAACAAUAUCCACGCCAACGUAACAAACAAAAAACUGAUGAAAGAGAAAAAAGAUAACAAAGCAUCAAACCGAACAGCCUUCCAAUUAAGAACCACAACGAUCAGAAAUCUGAAAAUUGAAGAGUAUAACGACAAGCACCGGAAACUCUAGGUAGAAGAGAAAAUAUAGUAGAAGAAAAUGUAGUAUAACAAUCUGCAUCCCUCAAUAAACAUUAUAUCAAUUGACAUCUUAUAUUAGUCCGCAUCCAACAACCCCACCAAGUUGGCCCCCACCUUAAGCUCCCACUUUGAUAGAAUAAAACUGAAUUUGUAUCUCCUGUCACAGGGUGAGGGCGAAAAAAAUAUCAAAGUCUACGUAACAAAAAAAAAAAAACUAUAAUAGAGAACACAGACAACCAAGCGUCAAACAAGAACUGCCUUUCAGAGAAGCUUGAUUAAGAACAAAACAGCAACCAAAGAUUUGUCCAUGUCCAAAAACCAGACCAAGAUAGCCCCCACCUUAAGCUCCUACUUUGAUAGAAUCAAAACCUAUUUUGUAUCUCCUGUCACAGGGUGAGGCUGAAAACAACAUCCAAGUCUACAUAACAGCAAAAGAACUAUAAUUGAGAGAGCAAAGAUAACCAAUUAUCAAACCCGAACUGCCUUCCAGUUAAACUUGAUUAAGAACCACAUAAUGAACAGGCAUCUGGAAAUGGAAGAGAGACUAACAAUAACCACAGGAAAGUCUAGAUGGAAGAUAAAUUGUAGUAGAAAAAAAUACUAUAUUAUACUCCCUCUGCCAUCCUCGAUAAACACUAUAAUUGACAGCGUCAAAGGUUGAUCUGUGGCCAAUAUAACUAAACCAAGAUUAGCCCCACCUUGAGCUCCUACUUUGAUAAAAUCAAAACAAAAUUUUUAUCAUCUGCCAUAGGAUGAGGCAGAAAUACAAUAUACACGUAUACGUAACAAACAAAAAAACUGAUGAUAGAGAGAAAAGAUAAACCCAGCAUCAAACCAGAAGUGCCUUCAAGUAAAGAACACCUGGAAAUUGAAGAGUAUAACGAUAAGUAUAGGAAACUCAAGGUAAAAGAGAAAACGUAAAAAAAAAAAAAAUAACUAUACUGUACACCAUCUGCCACCCUCGACAAACACUAUAUCAAUGAUGGCAUCAUAGAUUAGUCCAUAUCCAAAAACCAGACCAAGAUAACCCCCACCUUAAGCUUCAACUUUGAUAGAAUCAAAACCUAUUUUGUCUCCUGGCACAGGGUGAGGACCAAAACAUUGUCCAAGUCUACAUAACAAAUAAACAAUAAUUACAGAGCAAAGGUGACCAAUUAGCAAACCAGAACAGCCUUCCCGUGAAGCUUGAUUAAAAACCACACAGCGAUCAGGCAUCUGGAAAUUGAUGAGAACAACGGUAAGCAUGGGAAAGUCUAGGUAGAAGAUAAAAGAUAGUAAAAAAAAAAAAAACUAUUCUAUACUCUCUUUGCCAGGCCCACACCACUAUAUCAAUGACAGCAUCAAAGGUAGAUCCGUGUUCAAUAACCAGGCCAACAUUAGCCACACCAUAAGCUCCUUCUUUCAAAACUUAAUUUUUAUCUCCUAUCAUAGGGUGAGGCAGAGAACAAUAUCCACGUCUACAUAACAACAAAAAAUUGUUGAAACUGACAAAAGAUAACCAAGAAAACAAGAAGUGCCAUCCAUUAUGGAAAUUGAAGAGUAUAACUAUAAACACGGGAAACUCUAGGUAGAAGAGAAAAUGUAGUAGAAAAAAAAAAUACUAUUAUGUAUUUCCUUUGCGACCCUCGAUUUACAAUAUACCAAUGAUAACAUCAAAGAUCUGUCCGCGUCCAAAAACCAGACCAAGAUAGCCCCCACAUUAAGCUCCUACAGUGAUGGAAUCAAAACCUAUUUUGUAUCUCCUGUCACAGGGUAGGCCCAAAACAAUAUCCAAGUCUAUAUAACAACAAAAGAAAUAUAAUAGAGAGAUCAAAUGCAACCAAUUAUGAACCCAGAACUGCCUUCCAGUUAAGCUUGAUUAAGAACCACACAACGAUCAGGCAUCUGGAAAUUGAAGAGAAUAACAAUAAGCACGGGAAAGUCAAGAUGGAAGAUAAAUUGUAGCAGAAUUAAUACAAUACUAUACUCCCUCUGACACCCUCGAUAAACAUUAUAUCAGUGACAGCAUCAAAAGUUGAUAUGUCUCCAAUAACUAGACCAAGAUUAGCCCCACCAUAAGCUGCUUCUUUCACAACUUAAUUUUUAACCCCUGUCACAAGGUGAGGCAGAAAACAAUAUCCACGUCUACGUAACAAAUAAAAGAUUGUUGAAACUGACAAAAGAUAACCAAGCAUACCAGAAGUGCCUUCCAGUUAAGAACCACACAACAAUCAGACAUCUGGAAAUUGAAGAGUAUAACUAUUAGCACGGGAAACUCUAGGUAGAAGAGAAAAUGUAGUAGAAAAAAAAUACUAUUAUGUACUCCAUGUACUCCCUUUACCACCCACAUUAAACUAUAUCAAUGACAGCAUGAAGGAUUUGUCAGUGUACCAAAAACCAGACCAAGACACGCCCCCACCUUAAGCUCCUACUUUGAUAGAAUCAGAACCUAUUUUGUAUCUCCUAUCACAGGGUGAGGCUGAAACCAACAUCGAGUCUAAAUAACAACAAAAGAACUACAAUAGAGAGAGCAAAGGUAACCAACUAUCAAACCCGAACUGCCGUCCAGUAAGCUUGAUUAAGAACCACACAACGAUCGGGCAUCUGGAAAUGGAAGAGAAUAACGAUAAGCACCGGAAGGUCUAGAUGGAAGAUAAAUUGUAUUAGAAGAAAUACUAUACUAACUCCCUCUGCCACCCUCGAAAAACAUAUCAUGACCAUCAAAGGAUUGAUUGUGUGCAAUAACUGACUAAGAUUAGCCCUACCUUAAGCCCUACUUUGAUAAAAUUAAAACUUAAUUUUUAUCUCAUGUCAUAGGGUGGGGCAGAAAACAAUAUCACGUCUAUGUACAAACAAAAAUUGUUGAAAUGACAAAAGAUAACCAAACAUCAAACCAGAAGUGUCAUCCAGUUAAGAACCACCCCACGAUCAGACAUCUGGAAAUUGAAGAGUAUAUCUAUAAGCACGGGAAACUCUAGGUAGAAGAGAAAAUGUAUAGAAAUAAAAAUACUAUUAUGUACUCCCUUUGCCACCCUCGAUUAACACAAUAUCAAUGACUCAUCAAAGAUCUGUCCGCGUCCAAAAACCAGACCAAGAUAGCCCCCACAUUAAGCUCCUACAGUGAUGGAAUCAAAACCUAUUUUGUAUCUCCUGUCACAGGGUAGGCCCAAAACAAUAUCCAAGUCUAUAUAACAACAAAAGAAUAUAAUAGAGAGAUCAAAUGCAACCAAUUAUGAACCCAGAACUGCCUUCCAGUUAAGCUUGAUUAAGAACCAAACAACGAUCAGGCAUCUGGAAAUCGAAGAGAAUAACAAUAAGCACGGGAAAGUCAAGAUGGAAGAUAAAUUGUAGCAGAAUUAAUACAAUACUAUACUCCCUCUGACACCCUCGAUAAACAUUAUAUCAGUGACAGCAUCAAAAGUUGAUGUCUCCAGUAACUAGACCAAGAUUAGCCCCACCAUAAGCUGCUUCUUUCACAACUUAAUUUUUAACUCCUGUCACAAGGUGAGGCAGAAAACAAUAUCCACGUCUACGUAACAAAUAAAAGAUUGUUGAAACUGACAAAAGAUAACCAAGCAUACCAGAAGUGCCUUCCAGUUAAGAACCACACAACAAUCAGACAUCUGGAAAUUGAAGAGUAUAACUAUUAGCACGGGAAACUCUAGGUAGAAGAGAAAAUGUAGGUAGAAAAAAAAUACUAUUAGUACUCCCUUUACCACCCACUAUUAACACUAUAUCAAUGACAGCAUGAAGGAUUUGUCAGUGUCCAAAAACCAGACCAAGACAGCCCCCACCUUAAGCUCCUACUUGAUAGAAUCAGAACCUAUUUUGUAUCUCCUAUCACAGGGUGAGGCUGAAACCAACAUCCGAGUCUAAAUAACAACAAAAGAACUACAAUAGAGAGAGCAAAGGUAACCAACUAUCAAACCCGAACUGCCGUCCAGUUAAGCUUGAUUAAGAACCACACAACGAUCGGGCAUCUGGAAAUGAAGAGAAUAACGAUAAGCACCGGAAGGUCUAGAUGGAAGAUAAAUUGUAUAGAAGAAAUACUAUACUAUACUCCCUCUGCCACCCUCGAUAAACACACUAUAUAGUGACCACGUCAAAGGAUUGACUUGUGUGCAAUAACUUGACUAAGAUUAGCCCUACCUUAAGCUCCUACUUGAUAAAAUUAAAACUUAAUUUUUAUCUCAUGUCAUAGGGUGGGGCAGAAAACAAUAUCCACGUCUAUGUAGCAAACAAAAUUGUUGAACUGACAAAAGAUAAC
This 5487-nucleotide long non-coding RNA is filed under the name Salvia miltiorrhiza (redroot sage). Its description in RNAcentral is "long non-coding RNA (SMIL_LNC005899)". The record is from RNAcentral. Lineage: Eukaryota; Viridiplantae; Streptophyta; Magnoliopsida; Lamiales; Lamiaceae.